Molecule: ribosomal RNA, 465 nt
Filed under: Vreelandella stevensii
Lineage: Bacteria; Pseudomonadati; Pseudomonadota; Gammaproteobacteria; Oceanospirillales; Halomonadaceae
Description: partial 16S ribosomal RNA
Rfam family: Bacterial small subunit ribosomal RNA
Source: RNAcentral
CCUACGGGAGGCUGCAGUGGGGAAUAUUGGACAAUGGGGGGAACCCUGAUCCAGCCAUGCCGCGUGUGUGAAGAAGGCCCUCGGGUUGUAAAGCACUUUCAGGGAGGAAGAACGCCUGGUGGUUAAUACCCAUCAGGAAAGACAUCACUCACAGAAGAAGCACCGGCUAACUCCGUGCCAGCAGCCGCGGUAAUACGGAGGGUGCGAGCGUUAAUCGGAAUUACUGGGCGUAAAGCGCGCGUAGGUGGCUUGAUAAGCCGGUUGUGAAAGCCCCGGGCUCAACCUGGGAACGGCAUCCGGAACUGUCAAGCUAGAGUGCAGGAGAGGAAGGUAGAAUUCCCGGUGUAGCGGUGAAAUGCGUAGAGAUCGGGAGGAAUACCAGUGGCGAAGGCGGCCUUCUGGACUGACACUGACACUGAGGUGCGAAAGCGUGGGUAGCAAACAGGAUUAGAUACCCCUGUAGUC